Molecule: ribosomal RNA, 342 nt
Filed under: uncultured Anaerolineaceae bacterium
Lineage: Bacteria; Bacillati; Chloroflexota; Anaerolineae; Anaerolineales; Anaerolineaceae
Description: bacterial SSU rRNA
Rfam family: Bacterial small subunit ribosomal RNA
Source: RNAcentral
AGCCUAUACAGGUGUUGCAUGGCUGUCGUCAGCUCGUGUCGUGAGAUGUUCGGUUAAGUCCGCUAACGAGCGCAACCCUCGUCGUAUGUUAUAUGUGUCAUACGAGACUGCCGGUAAAAAGACCGGAGGAAGGUGAGGAUGAUGUCAAGUCAGCAUGACCUUUAUAUCCAGGGCUACACACACGCUACAAUGGUCUGUACAAUGGGCUGCCAACCCGCAAGGGGGAGCUAAUCCCAAAAAGCCGUCCUCAGUUCAGAUUGGAGUCUGCAACUCGACUCCAUGAAGUCGGAAUCGCUAGUAAUCGUAUAUCAGCAUGAUACGGUGAAUACGUUCCCGGGCCUU